ACGUAGCCAAGCUCUCCACUCCACUGGGUAGGAUAGAUUAGAUAUAAAACAGAUCCAUACGGCCGUGUCUCCUGGCUGAGAAGAGAUAAGCCAGCCGCAUUGAUCCAUCGAUCGAUCGGGGUCAGGUAUGGAGCUGCUGUCCAACCGCCCGGCGCACGCCUCUGUGCCGGACAAGUACGUCUUCCCGCCGGAGAAGCGCGCCGCCCUGCUCGACGACGCGCCCAGCUCCGACGUGGCGCUCCCCGUCGUCGACCUCAAGCGUGCCACCCUCUCCGACGCCGGCCGCCGCCGCCUCGUGGCCGAGGAGAUCGUCAAGGCCGGCAAGGAGUUCGGCUUCUUCCAGGUGGUGAACCAUGGCGUGGCGGAGGACGUGGUGCGGGCGUUCCGGGAGGCGUCGGCGGAGUUCUUCGCGAUGCCGGCGGAGGAGAAGCUGCCCUACUGCUCCGACGACCAGAGCAAGCCCUUCCGCGUCGCCUCCAGCACCUCCUACGACCGGAACCAGACCCGCUACUGGCGUGACUACCUCAAGCUGCGUUGCCACCCGGUCUCCGACGAGCUCGUCGGCCACUGGCCGGCCAGGCCGGAGAGCUUCCGGACCUCCCUCGCCGAGUUCUCCGAACAGGUGCACGAGCUGGCGCAGACGCUGCUGCUGCUCAUCGCCGAGGGGCUCGGCCUCGACGGCGGCUUCUUUGCGGGCGACCUCAGCGGCGGCGACACCCAGAUGAACGUCAACUACUACCCGCCGUGCCCGGACCCGAGCGUCACGCUGGGCCUGCUCCCGCACUGCGACCGCCACCUCCUCACCGUGCUCUCCCAGGGCGACGUCGCCGGGCUCCAGGCGAGGUACCGCGGGCGGUGGCUGCUCGUCCGCCCGGUCCCGGGCGCCUUCAUCAUCAACUUCGGGCACCAGAUGGAGAUCGUCACCAACGGCGUGCUGGCGAGCGUGGAGCACCGCGCCCUCACCAACUCCGCCGUGGCGAGGAUGUCCGUGGCGACGCUCAUCAUGCCCAAGAUGGACUGCCUUAUCGGCCCGGCGCCGGAGAUGGUGAGCGAGGCGAAUCCGCCCAAGUUCAGGGAGUUUGUGUUCAGGGAGUUCAUGGCGGCGUACGACACCGCCGCUGCUAGCAGGGAGGACGUGCUGGAGUACUUCAGGAUCCAACAACACUAGAUCGAUGCUGAUGGAUCUACAUCUAUGCCCAGACUUUCUUCCUAGCAGCUUGAUGUACCAAAUAAACAGCGCUCCUAAGCGUUGAACUCUCGUGUGGUUGCAUCUUCUUGAUGCCAUGCCACAAAUUAAUGAACUUUCGUAUGUGCUUUUGUCUA
Molecule: RNA transcript, 1323 nt
Organism: Aegilops tauschii subsp. strangulata
Lineage: Eukaryota; Viridiplantae; Streptophyta; Magnoliopsida; Poales; Poaceae
Gene name: 2'-deoxymugineic-acid 2'-dioxygenase
Source: RefSeq, a predicted model, not a curated record